UGGGGAAUCUUGCGCAAUGCGCGAAAGCGUGACGCAGCAACGCCGCGUGCGGGAAGACGGCCCUCGGGUUGUAAACCGCUUUCAGUUGGGACGAAGCCUGUCUGGUGAAUAGCCAGUGCAGGUGACGGUACCUUCAGAAGAAGCCCCGGCUAACUACGUGCCAGCAGCCGCGGUAAUACGUAGGGGGCAAGCGUUGUCCGGAAUCAUUGGGCGUAAAGCGCGUGUAGGCGGCUUGGUAAGUCUGCUCUGAAAGCCCGGGGCUCAACCCUGGGAGGCGGGUGGAUACUGCUGAGCUCGAGUCCGGAAGAGGCGAGUGGAAUUCCUGGUGUAGCGGUGAAAUGCGCAGAUAUCAGGAGGAACACCAAUGGCGAAGGCAGCUCGCUGGGACGGUACUGACGCUGAGACGCGAAAGCGUGGGGAGCAAACAGGAUUAGAUACCCGCGUAGUCC
This 449-nucleotide ribosomal RNA is filed under the name uncultured bacterium. Its description in RNAcentral is "bacterial SSU rRNA". It matches the Rfam family "Bacterial small subunit ribosomal RNA", at positions 355 to 796 of the family's 1533-position model. The record is from RNAcentral.